Molecule: long non-coding RNA, 2975 nt
Organism: Myotis brandtii (Brandt's bat)
Lineage: Eukaryota; Metazoa; Chordata; Mammalia; Chiroptera; Vespertilionidae
Exons: 3
Source: RefSeq, a predicted model, not a curated record
GUCUAUGGGCCAUGCGUAUCCCUUCACCUUCUUCCAUCCAGUGCCCCCACCCCUCCCCUCUGACAAUCUAUAUGUGAACAUAAGUAUUUUAUGACAAACAGCUAUAUUGACAUGUUUGCAAAUCUCUUACUGUCUGGCUGGAUAGAAGAUGAGCAGGGAUGCGAUGGAGGCUGACCCCACCCCAAGCCUGGCCUCUGCUGCCGUGGGCACCCUCAGGAGGCCCCAAGGCCGGCCAGGGCCAGUGCGCAUGCUCACGCCUGACCAGUGGUGCCUGCGGCCGGUCCAGGCUGGGCUCUCUGCAGCCUGAGUCCUGCCCUUGCACGACGGUCGGUGGUCACUCUGAAGACCAAACGCGGUGAUAGUUGCCUGAUGGCGUCAGACCCUGACAACCAUCCUGCCUUCGGAGAAGGGAGGCUCAGGGAGCAGCCCGUCGGUGGCCAGGAGAUGUCACUGUCGUCUCUAUUGCAGAGCCAGGGCCAGGCAGAGGGGCUGAGAGGUUAGUGCUGGAGCACAGACCAGCUCCCCUGGGCCUGUGGCGGAGUCAGCAUCAGCCAGGCUCUGCGGAGACCGACCAGCGGGCGAUGCAGGUGGGCUGUGUGCGUGGGAGACAGACCAGCAGGCGGAGCAGGUGGGCUCCGUGCAUGGGAGACAGACCAGCGGGUGCAGGUGGGCUCCGUGCGUGGGAGACAGACCAGCGGGUGCAGGUGGGCUCCAUGCGUGGGAGACAGACCAGUGGGCGGAGGUGGGCUCCGUGCGUGGGAGACAGACCAGCAGGCAGAGGUGGGCUCCGUGCGUGGGAGACAGACCAGUGGGCGGAGGUGGGCUCCGUGCGUGGGAGACAGACCAGCGGGUGCAGGUGGGCUCACGGGAUUCCGGAGGCACACGGGCCCCAUAAGCCGCCUGCCAUGUGCAGGUGGGAGACCCAGGAGAGCAGGGGUGUGAGGCCCAGAGGGGACAGGAGAAGACGGCGUCGCAGCUCAGGCUGAGUGACAGCCAGCACCCGCUCUGCUCCAUGCUACGCAGAUGAGGCCCCCGCCCCGGGGAGGCACCUGCUUGGCUCAGUCUGCAGAUCCAAAUGCUGAUCUCACCCGGAAACGCCCUCCCAGACACACCCCAUAAACAUCAGACCAAACGUCUGGGCGCCCGCGGCCUGGCCAAGUGGACGUGCACCAUUAACCAUCACCUGCCGAGCAGGCCGCCGUCUCCCGAGCCAGCUCGCUGUGUGCUCAGCAUGGUGCCACGGAAAUGCUGCAUCUGGGACGCCGGGCCCGGUUCCUCCCCACCUCUGUCCGCAGGUCAGUGGACAGAGGCCCGGCAUGGCCGACCUCCUGGCUCUGCUGCCCCGCACACACCCCGGCCCCCCACUGUGCUGACUGCAGGCCCUCAGACAGACAGGCCUGGCAGGGAUCCCCGCCCCCACCCGGGAACUUCAUCUCCUUGGUCCAAAAUGAUGGUCAUCUAAUCGUUUUCACAACUUUCCCCGGAAUCUGCUCCCAGCAGCGCUGGCUGGAGUCGGGCCGCCGUGUUUCAGUCCAUCCAAAUGCAAACACCGUCUUAGUUUCCAAGUUUUGCCUCCACCGAUCUGAGGCGGCCGGCCACACUGUCCUGCUCACUAGGCAACAGGCUGGGAGUGACGGGACCUUGGGACCACGAGGGACUCCAGGCCCAAGGACACUGGGAGCGGAACUGGAGGACGCUUUCCAGCCCGCGGGCCUGUGGGCCCCUCCGCCCCCGUCCUGCCGGGCUCCUGAACAGGCCGGGAGCUCCGCGUCAGCAGGUGCCCAUGCCCGAGAUAAGCACGAAGCUUCAUUGAUGUAAGAGGUAAAUACCGAUGGAACGUACGUACCAGGUCAAUAUUGACCUCCAGGACAAUGCACCUCACGUUGGCAUAGGUGUGCCUGACCACGGCACGGGCUCCCAAAGUCUGCGCUCGGGGGCCUGGCCACGCGGGAGCCUCUGACGCUGGGAGAAGGGUGACCUGACAUUUCCAGAUGCGCCCGCAGGGAGUCCUGGCAGGAAGCUCUACGUCACCGAGAGGGUGCGCCGGACGCCGAGGGUCAGAGCCUGGGACUGCGUGGCCGCACAGAGCAAAGCAAGGGCCAGCGCGUUUGCUUUUUGCCGAGUUCACCUGGAGAUAAGGGAAGUCCAGCCAGAACGCACAGCACACACCGGCCAUCCUGGUCAUGGCCUUGACCACUGGCUGUGUGUGUUCAGUGCCUGGCGUGUGCAGAGCACGGUCCCUGACCUUCAGGGCAUGAUGUCACAGGGCCUGGGGGUCGGGGCCAGCUCCGUGGUCACGCCCUCCAGCCUCCUCGCCACAGGCAGGCAGCCCCACUCGAUGGAGCAGUGCUGCUCUUUUGCUUAGAAAGAGAAGCUGCAGAGAACCAAGACGGCGGCGGGGCAGGUAAACAGGGACUCGCCUCCCACAACCACAUCAAAAUUACAACUAAAACACAGAACAACACCAUUUGGAACCGCCUGAAGCUGGCUGAAUGGAAGGCCUACAGCUAGAGGAGUAGAGGAGAAGCACAUUGAGACUGGCAGGAGGGCGGAGACGCAAGAGGACGAUCAGGGGAAAGGAGCCGGAACAUAAGGCUGGGCUGCUCUAUCGAUGGACUUCCCCCCUGUGAUGCAGGAAAAGGGACAGAUGGACGCUGAGGCCUGGGGAGCCACCCUGAAGGUCACACAUAGCUUCCUGCUCCGAGUCUAGUGUGUUCCUACCAGAGCCUCCGCUGAGUCAGCUGGAGGCGGUCAAAAUGCCGAUGCGACCCCUCAGCCUGGGCCUCAAACGCCGUCUGACUGACUCUGAGGAACUUCGGAACAAGGUGCCCAGAGCUCGCUCACAGACCGAGGACCUGGGCUCAGACAGAUGUGGGGCCAACAGUGAAGGUCCCUCACCUACCUCCCUCACCCAGGGGUCGGCCCUAACUCCCCAGGCGUGAAUGGGGUGGGGGCGGGGCCUGGUCCACUAGGGG